AAGUCGUAACAAGGUCUCCGUAGGUGAACCUGCGGAGGGAUCAUUACAGAGUUCAUGCCCUCCUGGGUAGAUCUCCCACCCUUGCGUAUUUAUACCUUUGUUGCUUUGGCAGGCCGCCUGGGCUCGCGCCUGGCCACCGGCUCCCGGGCUGGUGCGUGCCUGCCAGAGGAUCUCCAAACUCUAGUUAUCAGUGUUGUCUGAGUACUAUACAAUAGUUAAAACUUUCAACAACGGAUCUCUUGGUUCUG
This 248-nucleotide unclassified non-coding RNA is filed under the name Scytalidium lignicola. Its description in RNAcentral is "partial internal transcribed spacer region". The stretch from base 1 to 46 matches the Rfam family "Eukaryotic small subunit ribosomal RNA", at positions 1786 to 1831 of the family's 1831-position model. The record is from RNAcentral. Lineage: Eukaryota; Fungi; Ascomycota; Leotiomycetes.